GACGAACGCUGGCGGCGUGCUUAACACAUGCAAGUCGAGCGAAGCCUUCGGGCUUAGCGGCGGACGGGUGAGUAACGCGUGGGAACGUGCCCUUUGGUACGGAAUAGCCCCGGGAAACUGGGAGUAAUACCGUAUGUGGUCGAGAGACGAAAGAUUUAUCGCAAAAGGAUCGGCCCGCGUUGGAUUAGGUAGUUGGUGGGGUAAUGGCCUACCAAGCCGACGAUCCAUAGCUGGUUUGAGAGGAUGAUCAGCCACACUGGGACUGAGACACGGCCCAGACUCCUACGGGAGGCAGCAGUGGGGAAUCUUAGACAAUGGGGGAGACCCUGAUCUAGCCAUGCCGCGUGAUCGAUGAAGGCCUUAGGGUUGUAAAGAUCUUUCAGUGGGGAAGAUAAUGACUGUACCCACAGAAGAAGCCCCGGCUAACUCCGUGCCAGCAGCCGCGGUAA
This 449-nucleotide ribosomal RNA is filed under the name uncultured bacterium. RNAcentral describes it as "partial 16S ribosomal RNA". It matches the Rfam family "Bacterial small subunit ribosomal RNA", at positions 28 to 523 of the family's 1533-position model. The record is from RNAcentral.